Molecule: ribosomal RNA, 406 nt
Filed under: uncultured bacterium
Lineage: Bacteria
Description: partial 16S ribosomal RNA
Rfam family: Bacterial small subunit ribosomal RNA
Source: RNAcentral
AUUGAACGCUGGCGGCAGGCCUAACACAUGCAAGUCGAGCGAGCGGCGGACGGGUGAGUAAUGUCUGGGAAACUGCCUGAUGGAGGGGGAUAACUACUGGAAACGGUAGCUAAUACCGCAUACCAUCAGAUGUGCCCAGUGGGGAUUAGCUAGUAGGUGGGGUAAUGGCUCACCUAGGCGACGAUCCCUAGCUGGUCUGAGAGGAUGACCAGCCAAACUGGAACUGAAACACGGCCCAGACUCCUACGGGAGGAAGCAGUGGGGAAUAUUGCACAAGGGGCGCAAGCCUGAUGCGGCCAGGCCGCGUGUAUGAAGAAGGCCUUGGGGUUGUAAAGUACUUUCAGUCGGGAGGCGUUACCGACAGAAGAAGCACCGGCUAACUCCGUGCCAGCAGCCGCGGUAAUAC